AGGGUGCAGGGCGGAUGCCUUGGCACUAGGAGCCGAUGAAGGACGUGAUAAGCUGCGAUAAGCUUCGGGGAGUUGCACGUAAACUUUGAUCCGAAGAUUUCCGAAUGAGGAAACUCACUUAGAGUAAUGUCUAAGUAUCAUUAAGUGAAUACAUAGCUUAAUGAGGGGAACUCAGGGAACUGAAACAUCUAAGUACCUGAAGGAAGAGAAAGAAAUUCGAUUCCGUAAGUAGCGGCGAGCGAACGCGGAUUAGCCCAAACCAAUAAAGUUUUCUUUAUUGGGGUUGCGGACAUAUCAUAACGGAGAGGUAUCGUAAUUGAAGAGGUUUGGAAAGACCCACCACAGAAGGUAAUAGUCCUGUAUGUUAAACGAGAAGACUUUAGAUAUGAUCCAGAGUACCACGGGACACGUGAAACCCUGUGGGAAGCAGGAGGGACCACCCUCCAAGGCUAAAUACUACCUAGUGACCGAUAGCGUAUAGUACCGUGAGGGAAAGGUGAAAAGAACCCCGGGAGGGGAGUGAAAUAGAACCUGAAACCCUGCACUUACAAGCUGUGGAAGCACAUUUCUUGUGUGACCGCGUACUUUUUGUAGAACGGGCCAACGAGUUACGUUAAGUAGCAAGGUUAAGCACUUAAGGUGUGGAGCCGUAGCGAAAGCGAGUUUUAACUGAGCGUUCAGUUACUUGAUGUAGACCCGAAACCGGGCGACCUACCCAUGAGCAGGAUGAAGCGAAAGUAAAAUUUCGUGGAGGUCCGAACCCACGAGCGUUGAAAAGCUCGGGGAUGACUUGUGGGUAGCGGUGAAAUUCCAAUCGAGCCCGGAGAUAGCUGGUUCUCCCCGAAAUAGCUUUAGGGCUAGCCUCAAGGUGAGAGAUACGGAGGUAGAGCACUGAAUGUCCUAGGGGGUAUUGCACCUACCGAAGACUAUCAAACUCCGAAUGCCGUCAUCUUAUACUUGGGAGUCAGACUGUGGGUGAUAAGAUUCAUAGUCGAAAGGGCAACAGCCCAGAUCGUCAGCUAAGGUCCCUAAAUGUAAGUUAAGUGGUAAAGGAUGUGGGAUUGCACAGACAACCAGGAUGUUGGCUUAGAAGCAGCCACUCAUUCAAAGAGUGCGUAAUAGCUCACUGGUCGAGUGAUCCUGCGCCGAAGAUUUCCGGGGCUAAAACUUACUACCGAAGCUACGGCAUCAGUAAUGAUGGGUAGGGGAGCUUCCCAUACGGGUUGAAGCAUGACCGUAAGGACAUGUGGACAGUAUGGGAGUGAGAAUGUUGGCAUGAGUAGCGAGAUGUGGGUGAGAAUCCCACAGGCCGUAAACCCAAGGUUUCCAGGGGAAGGUUCGUCCGCCCUGGGUUAGUCGGGACCUAAGCUGAGGCCGAAAGGCGUAGGUGAUGGACAACAGGUUGAUAUUCCUGUACUACCGAUAACCGUUUGAGAGAAGGGAUGACACAGUAGGAUAAGCUAAGCACACUGUUGGUUAUGUGUGCCCAAGCAUUGAGGCAGUCAAAGUAGGCAAAUCCGCUUUGAUAAUGCUGGGAUGUGAUGGGGAGCGAAAUUUAGUAGCGAAGUAGCUGAUUUCACACUGUCAAGAAAAGUCUCUAUCGAGGUUAAAGGUACCCGUACCGCAAACCGACACAGGUGGGUGAGGAGAGUAUCCUAAGGCCAGCGAGAGAACUGUUGUUAAGGAACUCGGCAAAAUGACCCCGUAACUUAGGGAUAAGGGGUGCCACCAUCAGGUGGCCGCAGAGAAUAGGCCCAAGCGACUGUUUACCAAAAACAUAGGUUUCUGCUAAGUCGCAAGACGAUGUAUAGGAGCUGACGCCUGCCCGGUGCUGGAAGGUUAAGGGGAUCUGUUAGAGCAAUCGAAGCAGUGAACUUAAGCCCCAGUAAACGGCGGCCGUAACUAUAACGGUCCUAAGGUAGCGAAAUUCCUUGUCGGGUAAGUUCCGACCCGCACGAAAGGCGUAACGAUUUGGGCACUGUCUCAACAACAGACUCGGUGAAAUUGUAAUUCCGGUGAAGAUGCCGGAUACCUGCGACAGGACGGAAAGACCCCAUGGAGCUUUACUGUAGCUUGACAUUGGGUCUUGGUACUACAUGUACAGGAUAGGUGGGAGGCUUUGAAACCAGGACGCCAGUUUUGGCGGAGCCAUCCUUGGGAUACCACCCUUGUAGUACUGGGACUCUAACCAUAGGCCAUGAAUCUGGUCUUGGGACACUGUCAGGUGGGCAGUUUGACUGGGGCGGUCGCCUCCCAAAAGGUAACGGAGGCGCUCAAAGGUUCUCUCAGUACGGUCGGAAAUCGUACGUAGAGUGUAAAGGCAAAAGAGAGCUUGAUUGCAAGACAUACAGGUCGAGCAAGGAUGAAAAUCGGACUUAGUGAUCCGGUGGUUCUGCGUGGAAGGGCCAUCGCUCAACGGAUAAAAGCUACCCUGGGGAUAACAGGCUUAUCUCCCCCAAGAGUCCACAUCGACGGGGAUGUUUGGCACCUCGAUGUCGGCUCAUCACAUCCUGGGGCUGUAGUAGGUCCCAAGGGUUGGGCUGUUCGCCCAUUAAAGUGGUACGCGAGCUGGGUUCAGAACGUCGUGAGACAGUUCGGUCCCUAUCCGUCGCAGGCGUAGGAAAUUUGAGAAGACCUGUCCUUAGUACGAGAGGACCGGGAUGGACGUACCUCUGGUGUACCAGUUGUCCUGCCAAGGGCAUGGCUGGGUAGCUAUGUACGGAAUGGAUAAGCGCUGAAAGCAUCUAAGCGCGAAGCCAACUUCAAGAUAAGAUUUCCCACCGUAAGGGUAAGACCCCAGAAAGACUAUCUGGUUGA
This 2817-nucleotide ribosomal RNA is filed under the name Clostridioides difficile. RNAcentral describes it as "bacterial LSU rRNA". It matches the Rfam family "Bacterial large subunit ribosomal RNA". The record is from RNAcentral. Lineage: Bacteria; Bacillati; Bacillota; Clostridia; Peptostreptococcales; Peptostreptococcaceae.